UUGAAUAAUAAAACGGAUUUACCUAGGAAGUCUAGGAGAAAAUGCAAUGAAUUGUUUCAAGACCGACUCGAAUUGUUUUUUUUCUUUUAUUGAAUUGAUCCCACCGGAACAAAAUUCACUUGAUUGAUACAUGUACAUACACCUAGCAAUUCAACAUAAAAUUCAAGAUAUUUCAUCGAAUCAUGGAAUGAAGAGAUUCUACUUGUCUCCUGAACUAAAUUCUUGGAGAAAAAAGAAU
Molecule: long non-coding RNA, 238 nt
Filed under: Nicotiana benthamiana
Lineage: Eukaryota; Viridiplantae; Streptophyta; Magnoliopsida; Solanales; Solanaceae
Description: long non-coding RNA (NBEN_LNC005825)
Source: RNAcentral